This 726-nucleotide long non-coding RNA is filed under the name Marmota monax (woodchuck). Lineage: Eukaryota; Metazoa; Chordata; Mammalia; Rodentia; Sciuridae. The record is from RNAcentral.
AUAAUGAAUAAUUAUACACCUAAGCCAUAAAAUAAGUGAUACCUGAAAUUCUACAAAGAUGGGCUAUAUUCUUUAUUUUUCAGUGUGCUCUUUUAAAAAAAAGUACAGCCAGUUAUCAUUGUCAGUUAUUAAUGACUAACACUAAACGUACACACAUUUGAAAACAAAAUGUUUUAAUAAAUUUUUAUUUCAGAACAAUGUAAGAUUUACACAAAAUUUGAAGAGAAUAGUAUAGAGACUUCCCAGAGCCCCCUCUUAUUAACAUCGUAAAUCAGUGUGGUACAUUUGUCACAAUUAGUGAACAAAUACUAAUUAUCACCACCUGAAGUUCAUAUUUUAUUUAGAUUUGCCAAUUUCCCUGUUCCAGAUUCCCAACCAGGACACCAGCUUACAUUUACUAGUGAUAUGUUUCAGCUCUUCUGGCUAUCACAGAUUUUUAGGCUUUCAUAUUUUUGAUGAUCUUAAUAAUGUUUAUACUGGUCAAGUUGGAUAAAGUUCCCCAUUUGAGAUUUCCUUGAUGUUUUCCUCAUAAUUUAGUUGGGCUUAUUGGUUCUGGAAAAGAUUAGAGGUAGGGUGCUGUUCUCACACUUGAUAUCAUACAUAUGUGCUCUAUAGAUGGUUUUUCCCUGUUAAUGUUAACGUUAACUAUGACCACUUGGAUAAGGUUGUUUGUCAGGUUUCUCCUCCCGGAAUUUGCAUUUUGCCCCAUCUAUGCUUGAUGUAGUC